GUAAAGGUAGAAGAUAAGGCGGGUAAUACAAAUUAUUCUGCGCCGCUGACGGUGACUAUCGAUACGCAAACGUCUAUUGAUCGCAUUGGGCUUCUUAAUGACACGGGUAUUGUCGGGGAUAACCUGACCAAUGAAGCACGUCCACAGUUUCAUAUUACGGUACCGACGGACGUGAACUCUGUGCAACUGAGUCUUGAUGGCGGCAUCAACUGGGUUAACGCAACGCUGACGUCUGACGGCGUUUGGGAGUAUAUAUGGCCGACAGAUCUGGUCGAAAAUACGUAUACCCUGACAGUGAAAGCAACCGAUGUUGCAGGCAACACGGCGACGGAAACGCUCAAUUUUAUCAUUGAUACCACAUUGUCGACACCGACCAUCACGCUGGAUAGCGCAGAUGAUAGCGGCACCGCCAACGAUAAUAAGACUAACGUUAAAACGCCGGGUUUUAUUAUCGGCGGUAUUGAUUCUGACGUGACUCAGGUCGUCGUGCAGGUGAUGCGCGAUGGUCACAGCGAGGAGGUGGAGCUGACGCAGACUAACGGGCAGUGGCGUUUUGUACCCGGCAGCGCGUGGACUGAUGGCGACUAUACGCUGACGGUAACGGUGAAAGAUGAGGCGGGUAAUAUUCGCCACUCAGCGCCGUUGACGGUCACCAUCGAUACGCAAAUCACCAUUGACCAUAUUGAACUGGUCAAUGACAGCGGUAUUCCCGACGAUAAUCUGACUAAUAAUGUGCGUCCGCACUUCCAGGUGACGGUACCGACGGAUGUCAACGUGGUGCGCCUGAGCAUUGACGGCGGCAAGACGUGGUUCAACGCGACCCAGAGCGCGACGCCGGGCGUCUGGGAUUAUACCUGGCUGGCUGAUGUGGGAGAGGGUAAGCAUACCCUGACAGUGGAGGCGACCGACAAGGCGGGAAACAAAACGACGCAGCAACUGGACUUCAUCAUCGAUACCCUACUGUCAGAACCGACUAUCGUGCUGGACAGCACGGACGACAGCGGAACAAAAGGCGAUAACCUGACCAACGUAAAUAAGCCGACGUUUUUACUGGGCAAUAUUGACGCAGACGCGCGGUAUGUCACAGUUGAGGUACAGCAUGGCGGCACGAAAGAGGUGCUGACGGCCACCAAAGACGCGACCGGCAACUGGAGCGUGACACCGAUCGGCACAUGGGCAGAUGGCGACUAUACGCUGACAGUGAGGGUGGAAGAUGAGGCGGGGAACGAAAAACACUCAGCGUCGCUGACGGUCACUGUUGAUACCCAAAUCACCAUUGAUGUUAUUGAACUGGUUAAUGAUAACGGUAUUCCCGGCGACAAUAUGACUAACGACGCCCAUCCGCAGUUCCGCGUGACGGUACCGGGGGAUGUUAACGAAGUCAGUCUGAGCAUUGACGGCGGUGUAACCUGGGUUAAAGCGAUGCAAAGCGCGACGCCGGGCGUCUGGAAUUAUACCUGGCCAAAGACAGUGGCAGAUGGUGACUACACGUUAACGGUGAAAGCGACUGAUAACGCAGGCAAUACGGUGACCAGGACGCUCGACUUCACUAUUGAUACUACGUUGUCGACGCCGGUUAUCGUACUGGAUAGCGCGGACGACAGUGGUGUCCAUGGCGAUAACAUGACCAAUCGCACCCAGCCGACAUUUGCCCUGCAGCAUAUUGAUGAUGAUGCCGUUCGCGUUACGGUCAGCGUAGAGCAUGGCGGCGUCACCACCACAUUUGACGCCACGAAAGACGCAGGCGGAUGGACCUUUACGCCGACAGGGGCGUGGGCGGAUGGUGAUUAUNUGUGACGCCUGCCCGGUGCCGGAAGGUUAAUUGAUGGGGUCAGCGCAAGCGAAGCUCCUGAUCGAAGCCCCGGUAAACGGCGGCCGUAACUAUAACGGUCCUAAGGUAGCGAAAUUCCUUGUCGGGUAAGUUCCGACCUGCACGAAUGGCGUAAUGAUGGCCAGGCUGUCUCCACCCGAGACUCAGUGAAAUUGAACUCGCUGUGAAGAUGCAGUGUACCCGCGGCAAGACGGAAAGACCCCGUGAACCUUUACUAUAGCUUGACACUGAACAUUGAGCCUUGAUGUGUAGGAUAGGUGGGAGGCUUUGAAGUGUGGACGCCAGUCUGCAUGGAGCCGACCUUGAAAUACCACCCUUUAAUGUUUGAUGUUCUAACGUGGACCCGUGAUCCGGGUUGCGGACAGUGUCUGGUGGGUAGUUUGACUGGGGCGGUCUCCUCCUAAAGAGUAACGGAGGAGCACGAAGGUUGGCUAAUCCUGGUCGGACAUCAGGAGGUUAGUGCAAUGGCAUAAGCCAGCUUGACUGCGAGCGUGACGGCGCGAGCAGGUGCGAAAGCAGGUCAUAGUGAUCCGGUGGUUCUGAAUGGAAGGGCCAUCGCUCAACGGAUAAAAGGUACUCCGGGGAUAACAGGCUGAUACCGCCCAAGAGUUCAUAUCGACGGCGGUGUUUGGCACCUCGAUGUCGGCUCAUCACAUCCUGGGGCUGAAGUAGGUCCCAAGGGUAUGGCUGUUCGCCAUUUAAAGUGGUACGCGAGCUGGGUUUAGAACGUCGUGAGACAGUUCGGUCCCUAUCUGCCGUGGGCGCUGGAGAACUGAGGGGGGCUGCUCCUAGUACGAGAGGACCGGAGUGGACGCAUCACUGGUGUUCGGGUUGUCAUGCCAAUGGCACUGCCCGGUAGCUAAAUGCGGAAGAGAUAAGUGCUGAAAGCAUCUAAGCACGAAACUUGCCCCGAGAUGAGUUCUCCCUGAGACUUUAGGUCUCCUGAAGGAACGUUGAAGACGACGACGUUGAUAGGCCGGGUGUGUAAGCGCAGCGAUGCGUUGAGCUAACCGGUACUAAUGAACCGUGAGGCUUAACCUU
This 2872-nucleotide ribosomal RNA is filed under the name Salmonella enterica subsp. enterica serovar Typhi. RNAcentral's name for it is "bacterial LSU rRNA". The stretch from base 1497 to 2872 matches the Rfam family "Bacterial large subunit ribosomal RNA". Lineage: Bacteria; Pseudomonadati; Pseudomonadota; Gammaproteobacteria; Enterobacterales; Enterobacteriaceae. The record is from RNAcentral.